Molecule: ribosomal RNA, 679 nt
Filed under: uncultured bacterium
Lineage: Bacteria
Description: bacterial SSU rRNA
Rfam family: Bacterial small subunit ribosomal RNA
Source: RNAcentral
GAGGCAUCUUCUUUCGGCCAAAGGAGGCGACUCCGGAGACGGAUGGGCAUGCGUGACAUUAGCUUGUUGGCGGGGUAACGGCCCACCAAGGCGACGAUGUCUAGGGGUUCUGAGAGGAAGGUCCCCCACACUGGUACUGAGACACGGACCAGACUCCUACGGGAGGCAGCAGUGAGGAAUAUUGGUCAAUGGGCGAGAGCCUGAACCAGCCAAGUCGCGUGAAGGAUGACGGCCCUACGGGUUGUAAACUUCUUUUGUCAGGGAGCAAUUGGGUCCACGUGUGGGCUUAGCGAGAGUACCUGAAGAAAAAGCAUCGGCUAACUCCGUGCCAGCAGCCGCGGUAAUACGGAGGAUGCGAGCGUUAUCCGGAUUUAUUGGGUUUAAAGGGUGCGUAGGCGGAAUAUCAAGUCAGCGGUAAAAAUUCGGGGCUCAACCCCGUCGUGCCGUUGAAACUGAUGUUCUUGAGUGGGCGAGAAGUAUGCGGAAUGCGUGGUGUAGCGGUGAAAUGCAUAGAUAUCACGCAGAACUCCGAUUGCGAAGGCAGCAUACCGGCGCCCAACUGACGCUGAAGCACGAAAGCGUGGGUAUCGAACAGGAUUAGAUACCCUGGUAGUCCACGCAGUAAACGAUGAAUGCUAAUUGUCCGGAGGGAUUGACCUCUGGGUGAUACAGCGAAAGC